Molecule: ribosomal RNA, 252 nt
Filed under: uncultured bacterium
Lineage: Bacteria
Description: partial 16S ribosomal RNA
Rfam family: Bacterial small subunit ribosomal RNA
Source: RNAcentral
UACGGAGGAUGCGAGCGUUAUCCGGAUUUAUUGGGUUUAAAGGGUGCGCAGGCGGCACGGCAAGCCGGCGGUCAAAUCGCGGGGCUCAACCCCGCCCAGCCGUCGGAACUGCCGGGCUAGAGUGGGCGAGAAGUGCGCGGAAUGCGUGGUGUAGCGGUGAAAUGCAUAGAUAUCACGCAGAACUCCGAUUGCGAAGGCAGCGCACCGGCGCCCUACUGACGCUCAGGCACGAAAGCGUGGGGAGCAAACAGG